Molecule: ribosomal RNA, 506 nt
Filed under: uncultured bacterium
Lineage: Bacteria
Description: bacterial SSU rRNA
Rfam family: Bacterial small subunit ribosomal RNA
Source: RNAcentral
CCUGGCUCAGGAUGAACGCUAGCGACAGGCCUAACACAUGCAAGUCGAGGGGCAGCACAAGGAGCAAUCUGAGGUGGCGACCGGCGCACGGGUGAGUAACACGUAUGCAACCUGCCUGUAAGCGGGGAAUAACCCGUUGAAAGACGGACUAAUACCGCAUAAUACUAAAUUACUGCAUGGUAAUUUAUUUAAACAUUUAUGGCUUACAGAUGGGCAUGCGCAUGAUUAGCUAGUUGGAGAGGUAACGGCUCCCCAAGGCAACGAUCAUUAGGGGUUCUGAGAGGAAGGUCCCCCCACACUGGUACUGAGACACGGACCAGACUCCUACGGGAGGCAGCAGUGAGGAAUAUUGGUCAAUGGACGAGAGUCUGAACCAGCCAAAUCGCGUGCAGGAAGAAUGUCCUAUGGAUUGUAAACUGCUUUUGCAGGGGAAUAAAGUGCAUCACGUGUGAUGUUUUGUAUGUACUCUGCGAAUAAGGAUCGGCUAACUCCGUGCCAGCCGCGGC